Molecule: ribosomal RNA, 392 nt
Filed under: uncultured bacterium
Lineage: Bacteria
Description: partial 16S ribosomal RNA
Rfam family: Bacterial small subunit ribosomal RNA
Source: RNAcentral
AUACGGAGGAUGCGAGCGUUAUCCGGAUUUAUUGGGUUUAAAGGGAGCGUAGGCGGGAGCUUAAGUCAGCGGUUAAAUGGUGCGGCUCAACCGUGCCCUGCCGGUGAAACUGGGUUUCUUGAGAGUGCAAGAGGCGGAUGGAAUUCAUGGUGUAGCGGUGAAAUGCUUAGAUAUCAUGAAGGACUCCGAUUGCGAAGGCAGUCCGCUGGGGCACGUCUGUCGCUGAUGCUCGAAGGUGCGGGAAUCAAACAGGAUUAGAUACCCUGGUAGUCCGCACGGUAAACGAUGAUUACCCGCUGUCGGCGGUAGACAGUCGGCGGCCAAGCGAAAGCGAUAAGUAAUCCACCUGGGGAGUACGCCGGCAACGGUGAAACUCAAAGGAAUUGACGGGG